UACGGGGGGAGCAAGCGUUGUUCGGAUUUACUGGGCGUAAAGGGCGCGUAGGCGGCGUAACAAGUCACUUGUGAAAUCUCCGGGCUUAACCCGGAGCGGCCAAGUGAUACUGUUGUGCUAGAGUGCGGAAGGGGCUACUGGAAUUCUCGGUGUAGCGGUGGAAUGCGUAGAGAUCGGGAAGAACAUCAGUGGCGAAGGCGGCCUGCUGGGCUGUUGCUGACGCUGAGGCGCGACAGCGUGGGGAGCAAACAGG
RNAcentral lists this ribosomal RNA (253 nucleotides) under uncultured bacterium. RNAcentral describes it as "partial 16S ribosomal RNA". It matches the Rfam family "Bacterial small subunit ribosomal RNA", at positions 524 to 776 of the family's 1533-position model. The record is from RNAcentral.